CACGUAGGGUGCGAGCGUUGUCCGGAAUUAUUGGGCGUAAAGAGCUCGUAGGCGGUGUGUCGCGUCGGCCGUGAAAACCUGCAGCUUAACUGUGGGCGUGCGGUCGAUACGGGCAUCACUGGAGUUCGGCAGGGGAGACUGGAAUUCCUGGUGUAGCGGUGAAAUGCGCAGAUAUCAGGAGGAACACCGGUGGCGAAGGCGGGGCUCUGGGCCGAUACUGACGCUGAGGAGCGAAAGCGUGGGGAGCGAACAGG
This 254-nucleotide ribosomal RNA is filed under the name uncultured bacterium. Its description in RNAcentral is "partial 16S ribosomal RNA". It matches the Rfam family "Bacterial small subunit ribosomal RNA", at positions 524 to 776 of the family's 1533-position model. The record is from RNAcentral.